This is a long non-coding RNA of Priapulus caudatus, 825 nucleotides long. RefSeq lists it as uncharacterized. The record is from RefSeq and is a predicted model, not a curated record. NCBI's taxonomy places the organism in Eukaryota, Metazoa, Priapulida, Priapulimorpha, Priapulimorphida, Priapulidae. The transcript is spliced from 2 exons.
GCUGGCGGAUCGGAGUCCAGACCUUCGGACUUCCUCUCUCAGCCCGGCGGCGGCGUGGCAGCCAAUAGGAUCACUCCUGGCGCGCACGCCCCGCCCACGACGCCCAGUGACCCCCCUCAUCAGGCAGCUACCGGCGGGUCACACCCCGUGCCGAGACCCCGGGCAUCCCCUCAACCCACACCCGCGGCGGCGGCGACAUACGUGGAACCCGAGCAAGGUGGCGCCGGCGGUGGCGUGCGGUUGUCUCCGGACGACUUCGCGCGUGCGCAUAAGCUGUGUAAGUUUGCCUGCUCUGCGCUACAGUACGAGGACGUGCCGUCAGCCGUGGACAACCUGCAGCGAUGCCUGCGCUUACUCAACACAGGCAGCGAGUGAGCGAGCAAUGGGGAGAGGUGGGGAGGAGCCUACGUGUGUGCGUGCGUGCGUGCGUGCGUGCGUGUGUGCGUGCGUGUGUGCGUGCGUGCGUGCGUGUCUUUCUUUAUAGGCAUACUGGUUCUGUCUUACUUGCACGUGCAUGCGUAUGCGUGCGUUCGUGCGUACGUAUGUGUAUUUUUUGCUAAGCUUGCGUGUGGUGUGUGUGAUGUGCUGUUACCUACGUUGAUCUGUUACUCGCAUAAUCAGCGCUCCUCGCUAUGCAAUCGUUGCUGCACGGUGCUGCCAUCUAGUGGCUACGAUUGCACGCUUGCGGUGGUAUGUAUAUAUGGGAUGGUCGUGAUGUAUGAGUGAGUGAGUAAACUGCCAAGUGCUAGCAACAGAGUCAGGCGUGCAUAAAGUUAGAGAGGGUGAGGGCGAGAGAGAGAGUGGGUGGAGGAAGAGAUGGGGGGG